CCUACGGGGGGCUGCAGUAGGGAAUAUUGCACAAUGGGCGCAAGCCUGAUGCAGCCAUGCCGCGUGUGUGAAGAAGGCCUUCGGGUUGUAAAGCACUUUCAGCGGGGAGGAAGGCGUUAAGGUUAAUAACCUUGGCGAUUGACGUUACCCGCAGAAGAAGCACCGGCUAACUCCGUGCCAGCAGCCGCGGUAAUACGGAGGGUGCAAGCGUUAAUCGGAAUUACUGGGCGUAAAGCGCACGCAGGCGGUCUGUCAAGUCGGAUGUGAAAUCCCCGGGCUCAACCUGGGAACUGCAUUCGAAACUGGCAGGCUAGAGUCUUGUAGAGGGGGGUAGAAUUCCAGGUGUAGCGGUGAAAUGCGUAGAGAUCUGGAGGAAUACCGGUGGCGAAGGCGGCCCCCUGGACAAAGACUGACGCUCAGGUGCGAAAGCGUGGGGAGCAAACAGGAUUAGAUACCCUUGUAGUC
This 465-nucleotide ribosomal RNA is filed under the name uncultured Klebsiella sp. RNAcentral's name for it is "bacterial SSU rRNA". It matches the Rfam family "Bacterial small subunit ribosomal RNA", at positions 338 to 795 of the family's 1533-position model. Lineage: Bacteria; Pseudomonadati; Pseudomonadota; Gammaproteobacteria; Enterobacterales; Enterobacteriaceae. The record is from RNAcentral.